Molecule: ribosomal RNA, 468 nt
Filed under: uncultured bacterium
Lineage: Bacteria
Description: partial 16S ribosomal RNA
Rfam family: Bacterial small subunit ribosomal RNA
Source: RNAcentral
GACGAACGCUGGCGGCGUGCUUAACACAUGCAAGUCGAACGGAAAGGCCCUGCUUUUGUGGGGCGCUUGAGUGGCGAACGGGUGAGUAAAACGUGAGUAACCCGUCCCUGACUUUGGGAUAACUUUAGGAAACUGGGGCUAAUACCGGAUAGGAGCUCCUGCUGCAUGGUGGGGGGUGGAAAGUUUCGGCGGUUGGGGAUGGACUCGCGGCUUAUCAGCUUGUUGGUGAGGUAGUGGAUUACCAAGGUUUUGACGGGUAGCCGGCCUGGGAGGGUGACCGGCCACAUUGGGACUGAGGUACGGCCCAGACUCCUACGGGAGGCAGCAGUGGGGAAUAUUGCACAAUGAGCGGAAGCCUGAUGCAGCAACGCCGCGUGCGGGAUGACGGCCUUCGAGUUGUAAACCGCUUUCUCCUGUGACGAAGCGUGAGUGACGGUAAUGGGUAAGGAAGCACCGGCUAACUACGUG